GCAAACUUGGUCAUUUAGAGGAAGUAAAAGUCGUAACAAGGUUUCCGUAGGUGAACCUGCGGAAGGAUCAUUAUCAAGAUCGAUUCCGAACAAACCAAACGGUAUGGAACGAUCAAAUCCAUAUCCACCCUGUGUGCACCGAUUGACCGUUUGCUUUUGGCAGGAAAAGGAGCCUUCGAUCCGGAGGCGCUGAGAGGCCACGAGAAAUGGCCUCAGCCUGCCAAGAGGCUUCCGAACUCACGUUUGUCUUUUUGUUACCUUCUUUUUUGGACUGAACCUCUUUUCGUCUCGAUUCUCUGGUAAUCGGUCGAAUCAAAGAGACAACUUUCAACAACGGAUCUCUUGGCUCUCGCAUCGAUGAAGAACGCAGC
This 371-nucleotide unclassified non-coding RNA is filed under the name uncultured fungus. RNAcentral's name for it is "partial contains small subunit ribosomal RNA, internal transcribed spacer 1, and 5.8S ribosomal RNA". The stretch from base 1 to 73 matches the Rfam family "Eukaryotic small subunit ribosomal RNA", at positions 1759 to 1831 of the family's 1831-position model. Lineage: Eukaryota; Fungi. The record is from RNAcentral.